RNAcentral lists this ribosomal RNA (460 nucleotides) under uncultured bacterium. RNAcentral describes it as "partial 16S ribosomal RNA". It matches the Rfam family "Bacterial small subunit ribosomal RNA", at positions 338 to 795 of the family's 1533-position model. The record is from RNAcentral.
CCUACGGGGGGCAGCAGUGAGGAAUAUUGGUCAAUGGACGCAAGUCUGAACCAGCCAUGCCGCGUGAAGGAAGACGGCUCUAUGAGUUGUAAACUGCUUUUGUACGAGGGUAAACGCAGAUACGUGUAUCUGUCUGAAAGUAUCGUACGAAUAAGGAUCGGCUAACUCCGUGCCAGCAGCCGCGGUAAUACGGAGGAUUCAAGCGUUAUCCGGAUUUAUUGGGUUUAAAGGGUGCGUAGGCGGGGGGGUAAGUCAGAUGUGAAAUCCAGGGGCUCAACUUCGGAAUUGCAUUUGAUACUGGUAGUCUAGAGAGUAGUUGAGGUAGGCGGAAUGUGUGGUGUAGCGGUGAAAUGCUUAGAUAUCAUGCAGAACACCGAUUGCGAAGGCAGCUUACUAAACUACUUCUGACGUUGAGGCACGAAAGCGUGGGUAGCAAACAGGAUUAGAUACCCGAGUAGUC